GGAUGUGAGGGCGAUCUGGCUGCGACAUCUGUCACCCCAUUGAUCGCCAGGGUUGAUUCGACUGAUCUGGCUGGCUAGGCGGGUGUCCCCUUCCUCCCUCACCGCUCCAUGUGCGUCCCUCCCGAAGCUGCGUGCUCGGUCGAAGAGGACGACCAUCCCCGAUAGAGGAGGACUGUUCUUCGGUCAAGGGUAUACGAGUAGCUGCGCUCCCCUGCUAGAACCUCCAAACAAGCUCUCAAGGUCCAGAAAAUAACAUAUCUUAUCAUUGCAUUUAUAUAUGGUUUUAAAUAUAAUUAUUUAUUAGUUAUAU
This is an unclassified non-coding RNA of 310 nucleotides. Its record names the gene 7SK. It matches the Rfam family "7SK RNA". From Rfam's summary of the family: 7SK was discovered as an abundant small nuclear RNA in the mid-70s but a possible function has only recently been suggested. The record is from Ensembl.